UGAUACUUGGCUGGAAAGAAGCCAGGGAGGAACUGGAGGUGGUGCCUUUAUGGACCGUUGGAGAAGAAUUCAGUUCAUCAAAGGAAUGAGGAGGCGAUGAGUGACCAAGUUGCCACUUCUAGAGGGUUGAGCAACACAACAAGGAUUUCCCCAUCCCUUCAACCUAAUCUUCUGGAGAAGAGAAAAGCAAGCCCUUCAUUAAAGUGCUAAAGACCACUUUAAUGGUAAAGAAAGAGCAGCAGAAGAAAUGGGCUGAGCUGAAUCUGGACUAACUCAGAUGGGAAGCUCAGAGCUGGCACCUGGCAGACUGCAACCAUAAAGUGUCCCUGGAGAAAUUCUCAGCUGCCUCCUAUCUCUCCUACCUGCUGCCUGGAGCAAAACAUGGGAGCACAGCAUGAUGGAGAGAGCAAAUAGUCAGGUUGGAAUAGGAA
Long non-coding RNA from Vidua macroura (Pin-tailed whydah), 431 nucleotides. RefSeq lists it as uncharacterized. The transcript is spliced from 3 exons. Lineage: Eukaryota; Metazoa; Chordata; Aves; Passeriformes; Viduidae. The record is from RefSeq and is a predicted model, not a curated record.